UAUAAGAUAGUAUAGGGAGUACUUAGAAUUUUGAUUUCUGCAGGAAAAGUUCAAUUCUUUUUCUUAUAG
RNAcentral lists this transfer RNA (69 nucleotides) under Astralium haematragum. RNAcentral describes it as "tRNA-Gln". It matches the Rfam family "tRNA". Rfam says of the family: Transfer RNA (tRNA) molecules are approximately 80 nucleotides in length. Their secondary structure includes four short double-helical elements and three loops (D, anti-codon, and T loops). Further hydrogen bonds mediate the characteristic L-shaped molecular structure. tRNAs have two regions of fundamental functional importance: the anti-codon, which is responsible for specific mRNA codon recognition, and the 3' end, to which the tRNAs corresponding amino acid is attached (by aminoacyl-tRNA synthetases). tRNAs cope with the degeneracy of the genetic code in two manners: having more than one tRNA (with a specific anti-codon) for a particular amino acid; and 'wobble' base-pairing, i.e. permitting non-standard base-pairing at the 3rd anti-codon position. The record is from RNAcentral. Lineage: Eukaryota; Metazoa; Mollusca; Gastropoda; Trochida; Turbinidae.